AUUGGGUUGACCUCAGAGUUCCUUUGGGUUUUCCCAUAAGAUGCUAUAGAAAAACUUGAGUGAAAAUUUGGGCCAGCCCA
Molecule: microRNA precursor, 80 nt
Filed under: Ovis aries (sheep)
Lineage: Eukaryota; Metazoa; Chordata; Mammalia; Artiodactyla; Bovidae
Description: miRNA (ENSOARG00000023844.1)
Source: RNAcentral